RNAcentral lists this ribosomal RNA (497 nucleotides) under uncultured bacterium. Its description in RNAcentral is "partial 16S ribosomal RNA". It matches the Rfam family "Bacterial small subunit ribosomal RNA", at positions 28 to 507 of the family's 1533-position model. The record is from RNAcentral.
GAUGAACGCUGGCGGCGUGCCUAAUACAUGCAAGUCGAGCGAACGGACGAGAAGCUUGCUUUUCUGAUGUUAGCGGCGGACGGGUGAGUAACACGUGGAUAACCUACCUAUAAGACUGGGAUAACUUCGGGAAACCGGAGCUAAUACCGGAUAAUAUUUUGAACCGCAUGGUUCAAAAGUGAAAGACGGUCUUGCUGUCACUUAUAGAUGGAUCCGCGCUGCAUUAGCUAGUUGGUAAGGUAACGGCUUACCAAGGCAACGAUGCAUAGCCGACCUGAGAGGGAGAUGGGCCACACUGGAACUGAGACACGGUCCAGACUCCUACGGGAGGCAGCAGUAGGGAAUCUUCCGCAAUGGGCGAAAGCCUGACGGAGCAACGCCGCGUGAGUGAUGAAGGUCUUCGGAUCGUAAAACUCUGUUAUUAGGGAAGUACAUAUGUGUAAGUACCUGUGCACAUCUUGACGGUACCUAAUCAGAAAGCCACGGCUAACUACGUG